This 253-nucleotide ribosomal RNA is filed under the name uncultured bacterium. RNAcentral describes it as "partial 16S ribosomal RNA". It matches the Rfam family "Bacterial small subunit ribosomal RNA", at positions 524 to 776 of the family's 1533-position model. The record is from RNAcentral.
UACGUAGGGGGCAAGCGUUGUCCGGAUUUAUUGGGCGUAAAGUGUGCGCAGGCGGCAGAGCAAGUCGAGUGUGAAAGCCCCGGGCUUAACUUGGGAAUUGCGCUCGAAACUACUUUGCUGGAGUGUGGCAGAGGAAGGUGGAAUUCCACGUGUAGCGGUGAAAUGCGUAGAGAUGUGGAGGAACACCAAUGGCGAAGGCAGCCUUCUGGGCCAACACUGACGCUCAUGCACGAAAGCGUGGGGAGCAAACAGG